ACAAGGCAGGCUUUAACUUGUGGCUGUGAUGCCCCCAAGGCUUCCUUGGGAGAGGAUGAGAACCAGUCCAGCUCACAGAAGAAGGAAGCUCUUCAUUGAUCUGUCUGGCCAAGGGGAGGAAGGAGAACCACUUGGAAAAUGAGUGCAAGGACACCAGAGCGCAAAGCUCGGUGGGUGUCUCCCGGGAGCGAUCUGAGGAAGCGACAGCUUUAGUUACACCCGGCAUUCACCCCGCCAGCCCCCGAAGUGCGGGCAGCGCCAUCGCCAUCCCCCGGCCCCUCACGCCCGCUCCCCGCUCCUCACCUGGGCUCCGGCUCGGCGCUGUCACGGUGCCGGCUGCGCUCGGGGAGCCGCGCGCCCGCCCCAGUGCGCGUGCGCGGGGGCGGGCCGGGGGCGUUCCCGGGCGAAGGGAGCGUCACGUGACUUCUGGGAAAGGCGGCGAAGACGAAAGCGAAACCAGCGCGGGGCCCUGGGGGCCGGGGGGGCCGCCCCGGCGCCCAUAAACUGCAGGCGGCUGAGCCUUCCCUUCCCUUCCCUUCCCUUCCCUUCCCUUCCCGCUGGAUGUUGAAGUCCAGGCUUUGCCGUGGGUUUUUAAGUGUAGUCUGUGCCCCCUUCCCUCCUCAGGUGGAGGAGGCAGGUCUUACUUAAUGAAAAAAAUAAAAUAGGUCUGUUUGGUAAACAUCGUGGUGUGAAAUACUGGUGAGUAGUAGAGCUAUAAACAUGUCUAUGAAUAAAAGCAAUGGAAGAAGGUAA
This is a long non-coding RNA of Zonotrichia leucophrys gambelii, 753 nucleotides long. RefSeq lists it as uncharacterized. The transcript is spliced from 2 exons. The record is from RefSeq and is a predicted model, not a curated record. Lineage: Eukaryota; Metazoa; Chordata; Aves; Passeriformes; Passerellidae.